Small nucleolar RNA from Microtus ochrogaster (prairie vole), 135 nucleotides. Its record names the gene SNORA70. It matches the Rfam family "Small nucleolar RNA SNORA70". Rfam says of the family: snoRNA U70 seems to be exclusive to mammals and is a member of the H/ACA class of snoRNA which contain H (ANANNA) and ACA box motifs. Lineage: Eukaryota; Metazoa; Chordata; Mammalia; Rodentia; Cricetidae. The record is from Ensembl.
UUGCAACUAAUUAAGCCGACCAGGUCCCUUUCCCCUUGGGGCCCUGGUGUGCAAUGGUUGCAAACAGCAGCCUCCUUGGUAGUGUACGCAGCCUGUUACCUGUAUGGGUUGCUCUAAGGGACCUUGGAGACAAUU